Molecule: ribosomal RNA, 253 nt
Filed under: uncultured bacterium
Lineage: Bacteria
Description: partial 16S ribosomal RNA
Rfam family: Bacterial small subunit ribosomal RNA
Source: RNAcentral
UACGAAGGGUGCAAGCGUUACUCGGAAUUACUGGGCGUAAAGCGUGCGUAGGUGGUUGUUUAAGUCUGUUGUGAAAGCCCUGGGCUCAACCUGGGAAUGGCAAUGGAUACUGGCAAGCUAGAGUGCGGUAGAGGGUAGUGGAAUUCCCGGUGUAGCGGUGAAAUGCGUAGAGAUCGGGAGGAACACCAGUGGCGAAGGCGGCUACCUGGACCAGCACUGACACUGAGGCACGAAAGCGUGGGGAGCAAACAGG